RNAcentral lists this ribosomal RNA (397 nucleotides) under uncultured bacterium. Its description in RNAcentral is "bacterial SSU rRNA". It matches the Rfam family "Bacterial small subunit ribosomal RNA", at positions 975 to 1368 of the family's 1533-position model. The record is from RNAcentral.
CAGCCCUUGACAUGUCCCGUAUGGGCCGGAGAGAUCAGGUCCUUCAGUUCGGCUGGCGGGAACACAGGUGCUGCAUGGCUGUCGUCAGCUCGUGUCGUGAGAUGUUGGGUUAAGUCCCGCAACGAGCGCAACCCUCAUCCUCAGUUGCCAUCAGGUUAAGCUGGGCACUCUGAGGAAACUGCCGGUGACAAGCCGGAGGAAGGUGGGGAUGACGUCAAGUCCUCAUGGCCCUUACGGGCUGGGCUACACACGUGCUACAAUGGCGGUGACAAUGGGAUGCUAAGGGGCGACCCUUCGCAAAUCUCAAAAAGCCGUCUCAGUUCGGAUUGGGCUCUGCAACUCGAGCCCAUGAAGUUGGAAUCGCUAGUAAUCGUGGAUCAGCACGCCACGGUGAAUA